ACGCUCGACACCUACGGGAGGCAGCAGUGGGGAAUAUUGCACAAUGGGGGAAACCCUGAUGCAGCAACGCCGCGUGAAGGAAGACGGUUUUCGGAUUGUAAACUUCUGUUCUUAGUGAAGAUAGUGACGGUAGCUAAGGAGCAAGCCACGGCUAACUACGUGCCCGCAGCGCGGUAAUCUGAGGCGGGCUGGCAAGGC
This 198-nucleotide ribosomal RNA is filed under the name uncultured bacterium. Its description in RNAcentral is "partial 16S ribosomal RNA". It matches the Rfam family "Bacterial small subunit ribosomal RNA", at positions 328 to 539 of the family's 1533-position model. The record is from RNAcentral.